CAACAAGCCAUUGAUCGGUACGGGUUGUGAGAGCAAGAGCCCGGAGAUGGAUUCUGAGACACGAAUCCAGGCCCUACGGGGUGCAGCAGGCGCGAAAACUUUACAAUGCGAGAAAUCGUGAUAAGGGAACCCCGAGUGCCCGUAAAUUCGGGCUGUCCGCCAGUGUAAAUAACUGGUGAAGAAAGGGCCGGGCAAGACCGGUGCCAGCCGCCGCGGUAAUACCGGCGGCUCGAGUGGUGGCCACUAUUACUGGGCUUAAAGCGUCCGUAGCUGGAUUGUUAAGUCUCUUGGGAAAUCCACCGGCUCAACCGAUGGGCGUUCAGGAGAAACUGGCAAUCUAGGGACCGGGAGAGGUGAGAGGUACUCCAGGGGUAGGAGUGAAAUCCUGUAAUCCUUGGGGGACCACCUGUGGCGAAGGCGUCUCACUAGAACGGCUCCGACAGUGAGGGACGAAAGCUGGGGGAGCAAACCGGAUUAGAUACCCGGGUAGUCCCAGCUGUAAACGAUGCGCGUUAGGUGUAUCGGUGACCACGAGUCAUCGAGGUGCCGAAGGGAAACCGUGAAACGU
Molecule: ribosomal RNA, 568 nt
Filed under: uncultured archaeon
Lineage: Archaea
Description: bacterial SSU rRNA
Rfam family: Archaeal small subunit ribosomal RNA
Source: RNAcentral